Molecule: non-coding RNA, 112 nt
Organism: Acanthosepion pharaonis
Lineage: Eukaryota; Metazoa; Mollusca; Cephalopoda; Sepiida; Sepiidae
Source: the annotation of a GenBank genome assembly
UACAACCAUAUCAUGUUGAAAUGUCAGUUCUUAUACAAUCACCAAAGUUAAGCAACAUCCAGCCUGUUCAGUACAUGGAUGGGUGACCACUUAGGAAUACCAGGUGCUGUAA